GAAAUGCGAUAAGUAAUGUGAAUUGCAGAAUUCAGUGAAUCAUCGAAUCUUUGAACGCACAUUGCGCCCAUUAGUAUUCUAAUGGGCAUGCCUGUUCGAGCGUCAUUUCAACCCUCAAGCCUUAGUUGCUUGGUGUUGGGAGCUUAUCCUGCCGCAAGGCGGGACAACUCCUUAAAUUUAUUGGCGGAGUCGCGGUGACCCCAAGCGCAGUAAUUCCUUUUCUCGCUUUAGGUGUUAACGCUGGCUUCUAGCCAUUAAACCCUCUAAUUUCUCAAUGGUUGACCUCGGAUCAGGUAGGACUACCCGCUGAACUUAA
RNAcentral lists this unclassified non-coding RNA (316 nucleotides) under uncultured Sordariomycetes. RNAcentral describes it as "sequence contains ITS1". The stretch from base 1 to 105 matches the Rfam family "5.8S ribosomal RNA", at positions 50 to 154 of the family's 154-position model. The record is from RNAcentral. Lineage: Eukaryota; Fungi; Ascomycota; Sordariomycetes.